UCCAAAACCCACUGUGGUUUUGGAUGGCCAAAUAAAGUCAACAAAAAGUAUCACCUGUGAUGAAACUAAUCUACCCUGCGUUUCAGAUUCGGGGAACUUGAAGACAUGAUCUCAGCAGCAAGAACCACCUGUCAAUACAACUUUCCCUUGGAAAUGUAUCAAUGGUGAGAAGGGAAUGCCGUUCCAGUGACGACCAGGAGGCCGGUCAUCAACAGCACAUAUUUCUUUCCGCAGCAAAGCGACACCAAUAUGUGGUGAUAAUGGCAAGACUGCAAAAGCACAGUCCAAGCCUCUGGGCUUGAAACAGUCAAUGCUUGUUGGACACGGAUAUACACAAUACAGAAGUGCAGUCUCCAACAGUCUGUGCUUUGGUUUGACAGUGUUCCCAAGUUCUAGCAGUUUCCAGCCACACACAGGCUCAGGGCACUCCCCACAGGCAGCAUAGAAAACCCAAGGCUCCACGGGCUGGUCUGCCCCCACUGAGAAUGGCCCCAGCGCGCCCACAGCCCUGGCUCUGCCCCUCUGCUCUAGCAACCCCUCAAAGCUUGUGCCACUCUUGGAAUCUUCCAGACAUUUCUGGAAAACUCUGCCUUCCUUCCCCGCACCCUGUUAGACCCAUUCCUAAGUGUUUCUUUAAAAAACAAAAGCCAGUGCAAUGUCUGUGUUUUUUUUUUUUUUUUUGGUAUGACCUCAAUUAAGUGAUGAUGUACACUUUAGAAUGUUGCUCUUUCUAUUAAAAUGAAACAGCAGGUUUUUGGUAUUAAAAAAAAAAAGCAUCCUGCUAGAUUCUUUCCAGGAAUAUGGCCUGCUCUUUCUAAACAACCUGCAGUAUUGUAAUUGGUCUGGAUCAAUGUUUUAACACGGGAUCCGCAGAUUCAAAGAGUCUUCCCACAACUGUGUACAAAAUCGCGUCUGUGAAUGUGGCUUUUCUGGGACAGGGUCCACGUCCGUACGUGACUCUAAAAGGCAGCCGUGCCGCCACCACCUCCAAAGUUUAAGCGUCACUGGUCCAGCCAAAAAUUGUAACGCAAAUCUUCCGGGAGAUCCAGUUUAAUUAUUUUAAAUAUGUAAUCCACCCACAAGACGUGCCAUUUUACAUGGUAUUUUUGUUUGAGCAUAAGAGCAUAAGCAUAUUACAGAGUCUCAUUGCAAAGCACCGGACCGUGUGAGCCACACGGAAGGAAGAGGACAGGAUGAGAGGAGGUCUGUCCGCCCACCGUGGACGGACUGUGGACGGCGGGAAGAGCUGACCGCCCCUCGGCCGGCGACCCUGGCAGAGAACGCUCACGAGUUUUCCCCAGCCCUGCUCCUCACGCACUGCAUGCCUUUGCCUCCACUGAUCCCGUCGCAUAUUCAACACCGAGUGGGGUCACUGCGGAGCCAUCCCAAAAUUCUCUUCCUGUCUUCAAGGGCACUCCAUAAAGUCUAAAUAGUAACGGGAGGAAAUCCGUGGCGUCUUUCUGAGCCAGCACCCCCUGCCUCCAUCCUCUGAGGAUAAUGAACUUGGAAUGGGUUGAAACUCCUGCGUUACAGACUUUUGUCCCCAAGAUACUCAUCUUCAGAGGAGGAGUUCCCUAAACGAGGUACUUUCCGCCGGGACACAAAGUCAUGAGAUAAACACGCAGUUCGCGGAAAUCGCCUUUUCCCAGAAGAUACGCAGAGCUGAGCAACGGAAACCGGGCGAGGCAAAGGGAUGCGCCAAAGUCGCGUAGAUAAACCCAGACAGCACCGCAACCCUAACCCGAGUCUGCGUCUCCGAAGCCCCUGGGAAACCCAGGAGACGCUAGAGGCCGUGCCGAUUUGGCUCAGAGCUCGAGGCAACUCCGCAUAUCUUUGUCGGGGGAAACAGACUUCCUUGGUGUCCACAGAACCCGCCUGCUGCUGUUCUUUCAAAUAUGAAAAAAAGAGGUCAGAAAUGACGGCUUGAGACCCUUGGGCUGGGGCUUGGGGGCUAUCUGCCGUAGAUUCUGUGUCCUAAGGCAACAGAUUUAAUAAGAGAGGGCCAUUAAAUUUGUAUUCUCAUCUUUC
Microcebus murinus (gray mouse lemur) is the source of this 2028-nucleotide non-coding RNA. The record is from RefSeq and is a predicted model, not a curated record. Lineage: Eukaryota; Metazoa; Chordata; Mammalia; Primates; Cheirogaleidae.